Oncorhynchus keta (chum salmon) is the source of this 3543-nucleotide long non-coding RNA. RefSeq lists it as uncharacterized. The record is from RefSeq and is a predicted model, not a curated record. Lineage: Eukaryota; Metazoa; Chordata; Actinopteri; Salmoniformes; Salmonidae. The transcript has 3 exons.
CAUGGUAGCAACACAACAUGACAACAACAUGGUAGCAGCACAAAACAUGGUACAAACAUUAUUUGGCCCAGACAACAGCACAAAGACAAGAAGGUAGAGACAAAAAUACAUCAGGUGAACCAGCCACCAACUGUCAGUAAGAGUGUCCUUUCACCUUUAUUUAACCAGUUGAGAAAAGCAGUGCAACAGCAACAACAACAACAACAACAACAACACAGAGUUACACAAAUGUACAAAUGUACAGUCAAUAACACAAUAGAAAAUAAAAACCAAAGAUCUAUGUACAGUGUGUGAAAAUGUAGAAGAGUAGGGAGGUAAGGCAAUACAUAAUAGUACAAAUAAUUACAAUUUAGCAUGAAUACUGAAUGAAGAGAUGGAGAUAAAACUGUCCAGUUUGAAGCUCGUUACAGUCGCUAUCUGCAGCGAACUGAAUAGAGGAGAGACCCAGGGAUGUGUGUGCUUUGGGGACCUUUAACAGAAUGUGACUGGCAGAACGGGUGUUGUAUGUUUAUUUUUUUUAUUUUACCAUUAUUUAACCAGGCAAGUCAGUUAAGGAACAGAUUCUUAUUUUCAAUGACGGCCUAGGAACAGUGGGGUUAACUGCCUGUUCAGGGGCAGGAUGACAGAUUUGUACCUUGUCAGCUCGGGGAUAUCAACUUGCAACCUUUCGGUUACUAGUCCAAUGCUCUAACCACUAGGCUACCCAUAGAGACACCAAUGAUGACGGCUGCAGUAGGUAUCUCAGAUAGGGGGGAGUGAGGCCUAAGAGGGUUUUAUAAAUAAGCAUCAACCAGUGGGUCUUGCGACGGGUAUACAGAAAUGACCAGUUUACAGAGGAGUAUAGAGUGCAGUGAUGUGUCCUAUAAGGAGCAUUGGUGGAAAAUCUAAUGGCCGAAUGGUAAAGAACAUCUAGUCGCUCGAGAGCACCCUUACCUGCCGAUCUAUAAAUGACGUCUCCGUAAUUUAGCAUGUGUAGGUUGGUCAUCUGAAUCAGGGUUAAUCAGAUCUCCCGAGUGGCGCAGCCGUUUAAGGCACUGCAUCUCAGUGCUAGAGGUGUCACUACAGACCUUGGUUCGAUUCCAGGCUGUAUCACAACUGGCCCAGCAUCGUCCAGGUUAAGGUUUGGCCGGGGUAGGCCAUCACUGUAAAUAAGAAUUUGUUCUUAGCUGACUUGCCUAGUUAAAUAAAGGUUAAAUAAAAAAUAUAAAAAUAGUUUGGCAGCUGGGGUGAAAGGAGCAAUUGUGAUAGAGGAAACCAAGUCCAGAUUUAACUUUAGCCUGCAGCUUUUAUAUGUGCUGAGAGAAGGACAGUGUACCUUCUACCCAAACUCCCCAGUACUUGUAUGAGGUGACUACCUCAAGCUCUAAACCCUCAGAGGUAGUAAUAACACCGGUGGGGAGAGGGGCAUUCUUCUUACCAAACCACAUGACCUUUGUUUUGGAGGUGUUCAGAACAAGGUUAAGGGCAGAGAAAGCUUGUUGGAAACUAAGAAAGACUUGUUGUAUAGUGUUUAACACACAAUCCUGGGAGGGGCCAGCUGAGUAUAAGACUGUAUCAUCUGAAUAUAAAUGGAGGAGAGAGCAUCCUACUGCUCAGAUGUUGAUGUAAAUUGAGAAGAGCGUGGGGUCUAGGAUCGAGCCUUGGGGUACUCCCUUACUGAGAGGCAGAGGCUGAGGCUUCAGAUGUUCUGACUUUAUACACUGCACUCUUUGAGUUGGUUAGCAGGUUAACCAGGCCAAAGAUCCCUCAGAGACAUCAAUACUCCUUAGAGACACCAAUAGUCCUUAGCCGGCCCACAAGAAUGGAGUGAUUUACUACCGUGGUUCCCAAACAUUCAACCUCGAGCUGUGUACCCCCUCUAGCACCAGGGUCAUGAAGCGUGGUAUGUGUUCAUGAUGAUAUUUUAAUUAAAGAAAGCACUGAACACUGAAUACAAAACAAUAAACGACCGUGAAGCUAUAAGAACUGUGCUGACACAAGCAACUAACAUAGACAAUCACCCACAAUGACAAAACAGGCUACCUAAAUAUGGUUCCCAAUCAGAGACAACGACAAACACCUGCCUCUGAUUGAGAACCAUAUCAGGCCAAACACAGAAACAGACAAACUAGACAUACAACAUAGAAUGUCCACUCAGAUCACACCCUGACCAAACAAAACAUAGAAACAUACAAAGCAAACUAUGGUCAGGGCGUGACAACCAGGGUCAGCUGUACCCCCUCUAGCUCCAGGGUCAGCUGUACCCCCUCUAGCCCCAGGGUCAGCGCAAUCUCUAAUGUUGUUUCUUGCCAUCAUUGUAAGCCUGCCACACACACACUUUACGAUACAUUUAUUAAACAGAAGAAUGAGUGUGAGUUUUUGUCACAACCCGGCUCGUGGGAAGUGACAAAGAGCUCUUAUAGGACCAGGGCACAAAUAAUAAUAUAAUAAUAAUAAUCAAUCAUUUUGCUCUUUAUUUAACCAGCUUACAUAUAAAACCUUAUUUGUUCAUCUAAAAUAGUGAAUAACUCACCACAGGUUAAUGAGAAGGGUGUGUUUGAAAGGAUGCACAUAACUCUGCAGUGUUGGGUUAUAUUGGAGAGAGUCUCAGUCUUAAAUCAUUUCUACACACAGUCUGUGCCUGUAUUUAGUUUUCAUGCCAGUGAGGGCCGAGAAUCCACUCUCACAUAGGUACGUGGUUGUAAAGGUCAUCGGUGUCUUAACAGCGCGAUUUGCCAAGGCAGGAUACUCUGAGCGGCAGCCCUAUCCAGAAAUCUGGCAGUGGCUUCUGAUUAAAUUACAUUUUCACAGAACCCCUUGUUGCAAUUUCGAUGAGGCUCUCUUGUUCAGAUAUCGGUAAGUGGACUGGAGGCAGGGCAUGAAAGGGAUAACGAAUCCAGUUGUUCGAGUCAUCCGUUUCGGGAAAGUACCUGCGUAAUUGCUCACCCAAGUCACUCAGGUGCUUCACAAUGCUAAUCACAUUAGCCUGCGUUAGCUCAACCGUCCCGUGGGAAGGGACACCGAUCAGGGGAUGGAUAUGGGGUUAGGUCUCUACUUGGCACUAAGGGGAUGGAUAUGGGGUUAGGUCUCCACUUGGCACUAAGGGGAUGGAUAUGGGUUAAGGUCUCUACUUGGCACUAAGGGGAUGGAUAUGGGUUAAGGUCUCUACUUGGCACUAAGGGGAUGGAUAUGGGUUAAGGUCUCUACUUGACACUAAGGGGAUGGAUAUGGGGUAAGGUCUCUACUUGGCACUAAGGGGAUGGUUAAGGUCUCUACUUGGCACUAAGGGGAUGGAUAUGGGUUAAGGUCUCUACUUGGCACUAAGGGGAUGGUUAAGGUCUCUACUUGGCACUAAGGGGAUGGUUAAGGUCUCUACUUGGCACUAAGGGGAUGGUUAAGGUCUCUACUUGGCACUAAGGGGAUGGUUAAGGUCUCUACUUGGCACUAAGGGGAUGGUUAAGGUCUCUACUUGGCACUAAGGGGAUGGAUAUGGGGUAAGGUCUCUACUUGGCACUAAGGGGAUGGUUAAGGUCUCUACUUGGCACUAAGGGGAUGGUUAAGGUC